RNAcentral lists this transfer RNA (57 nucleotides) under Cavia porcellus (domestic guinea pig). RNAcentral's name for it is "tRNA (ENSCPOG00000017427.2)". Lineage: Eukaryota; Metazoa; Chordata; Mammalia; Rodentia; Caviidae. The record is from RNAcentral.
AGGAAGACAACUGGAACUGCUAAUUCCUCCCUCCAUAUUUAAAAAUAUGGCUUCCUU